GUGGGGAAUAUUGGACAAUGGGCGAAAGCCUGAUCCAGCCAUGCCGCGUGUGUGAAGAAGGUCUUCGGAUUGUAAAGCACUUUAAGUUGGGAGGAAGGGUAGUAACCUAAUACGUUGCUACUUUGACGUUACCGACAGAAUAAGCACCGGCUAACUUCGUGCCAGCAGCCGCGGUAAUACGAAGGGUGCAAGCGUUAAUCGGAAUUACUGGGCGUAAAGCGCGCGUAGGUGGUUUUGUAAGUUGGAGGUGAAAUCCCCGGGCUCAACCUGGGAACUGCCUCAAAAACUGCAUGACUAGAGUACGGUAGAGGGUAGUGGAAUUUCCUGUGUAGCGGUGAAAUGCGUAGAUAUAGGAAGGAACACCAGUGGCGAAGGCGACUACCUGGACUGAUACUGACACUGAGGUGCGAAAGCGUGGGGAGCAAACAGGAUUAGAUACCCCUGUAGUCC
RNAcentral lists this ribosomal RNA (450 nucleotides) under uncultured bacterium. RNAcentral's name for it is "bacterial SSU rRNA". It matches the Rfam family "Bacterial small subunit ribosomal RNA", at positions 354 to 796 of the family's 1533-position model. The record is from RNAcentral.